This 74-nucleotide transfer RNA is filed under the name Furfurilactobacillus rossiae. RNAcentral's name for it is "tRNA-Lys". It matches the Rfam family "tRNA". From Rfam's summary of the family: Transfer RNA (tRNA) molecules are approximately 80 nucleotides in length. Their secondary structure includes four short double-helical elements and three loops (D, anti-codon, and T loops). The record is from RNAcentral. Lineage: Bacteria; Bacillati; Bacillota; Bacilli; Lactobacillales; Lactobacillaceae. RNAcentral also lists the same sequence under 4 other names.
GGGGGAUUAGCUCAGAUGGGAGAGCGGCAUCUGCUUGCAGAUGAAUGACAGUGGUUCAAGCCCAUUAUCCUCCA